This is a long non-coding RNA of Syzygium oleosum, 670 nucleotides long. RefSeq lists it as uncharacterized. The record is from RefSeq and is a predicted model, not a curated record. NCBI's taxonomy places the organism in Eukaryota, Viridiplantae, Streptophyta, Magnoliopsida, Myrtales, Myrtaceae. The transcript has 3 exons.
UGACAAUAUUUCUUAAGAGAAGGCAUGAUUCUCGGUAUUUGUUGGUGCUGCAUUGCAUUCUGUUGGCUUCGAUUUGUCCUCCGUUCUAUUUCCUUACCUUUGUCUAUUUGCUAGCUUAUGAUAUCGAAGUUUCGUUGCGUCCACUUAACUUUCUACGGCUCUACUGAUAUGAACAGACGGCACGUAAUUCUUGCUGAUGAGAUGGGUCUUGGCAUCUCCGUUUGAAGAAAAUCCAUACCCAUUCUUAGUUGUAGCUCCACUUUCUACCUUGCGGUGACUACGAAUUUCGCUUUCCCAAAAGCAAGCAAGAAGCUCAAGAAAAUAAAUCUGGCCAGCUGGUUAUUGCAACCAAACAAGAUAGCACAAAGCUCGAUAUCCCCUUAAUAUCAUAUGAGAUGAUUAAUCUGGACGCGGCAUCAUUGAAGCCGGUACAGUGGGGAUGCACGUUCUGCACUACGGGUCCUGUUUACUGGUUUUUCAUGCGAGGGUCUAUUUGAAGUGCCGGAAGAACGAAUACUUCUCAUGCUCUAUGGGAUCAACAAUUGCCGGAGAAAUUGGUGCAUAUGGCUAUACACCCUUCCGUACAAAUGGAUACGCUUGCUGGUAAGAGAGCUGAAGUUGCUAGAAGCCUAUAUGAGGUCUUUUUCUGGGGAUUGCUCUCCUUCGGGCC